RNAcentral lists this ribosomal RNA (506 nucleotides) under uncultured bacterium. RNAcentral describes it as "partial 16S ribosomal RNA". It matches the Rfam family "Bacterial small subunit ribosomal RNA", at positions 29 to 523 of the family's 1533-position model. The record is from RNAcentral.
AGUGAACGCUGGCGGUAGGCCUAACACAUGCAAGUCGAACGGCAGCACAGGAGAGCUUGCUCUCUGGGUGGCGAGUGGCGGACGGGUGAGGAAUACAUCGGAAUCUACUUUUUCGUGGGGGAUAACGUAGGGAAACUUACGCUAAUACCGCAUACGACCUACGGGUGAAAGCAGGGGACCUUCGGGCCUUGCGCGAUUGAAUGAGCCGAUGUCGGAUUAGCUAGUUGGCGGGGUAAAGGCCCACCAAGGCGACGAUCCGUAGCUGGUCUGAGAGGAUGAUCAGCCACACUGGAACUGAGACACGGUCCAGACUCCUACGGGAGGCAGCAGUGGGGAAUAUUGGACAAUGGGCGCAAGCCUGAUCCAGCCAUACCGCGUGGGUGAAGAAGGCCUUCGGGUUGUAAAGCCCUUUUGUUGGGAAAGAAAUCCAGCUGGCUAGUACCCGGUUGGGAUGACGGUGCCCAAAGAAUAAGCACCGGCUAACUUCGUGCCAGCCGCCGCGGUAA